Molecule: long non-coding RNA, 651 nt
Filed under: Pelusios castaneus (West African mud turtle)
Lineage: Eukaryota; Metazoa; Chordata; Testudines; Pelomedusidae
Description: lncRNA (ENSPCEG00000008871.1)
Source: RNAcentral
UUGGAAUCACAGACAGCUUGCCCCUGCCUCUUGCGAUUGCCUCUGCAGCAAUCUGCAGGCAGAGAGAGCGAGGAAAAGUACUUUCACAGGCCAUGCCUAAUGCUUCCCCAGCAAGAAGGGAGGCAAAGAAAGAUUUUUAGGGAACCAGAGGCAUUGUUGCCUUUGGGCUCACAGGGCGUCGGCCCCGCGUAGAUUAGCUUGAGCCCCGGAUCUAUUUUCUCCAACAGGCACAUGAGCAGACAGCCUGUUUGCAGAGGAGGCGGAGCUAAGCUGGGAAGAGCUAGCUGCAGCCUGUAGCUCAGUCACUAGCAGGGAGAGAAGAGGGAACUUUAAAUCCUCUCUCCCCUGCCGCACCAGCUCAGCCAUGCAGCACUGCAGCUGACUCCUCUGCACCCUGCUUUAUCUAGGAGCAGCUUCUUCUACACAAUACCACUGAUCAGCUGGAAGCUCUUACUCCUGGCCUUUGUCAUUGGUAUUGGUGAGUCUUUCCAGUCUGGGUUACAAAUCUAUAUCAUCAACUCUCCUGCUGAGGGCCUUAGCAAGGACGAGGAACAGUCAAGCUUUUAAUAGGAAAUGGCCAGCUGCCUUUCAGACCUGGUUGUUCCAGGAGCAAAGAGGAAGUACAACGCUACCAUCUGCAACAACCCUUCC